Molecule: ribosomal RNA, 496 nt
Filed under: uncultured bacterium
Lineage: Bacteria
Description: partial 16S ribosomal RNA
Rfam family: Bacterial small subunit ribosomal RNA
Source: RNAcentral
AUGAACGCUGGCGGCGUGCCUAAUACAUGCAAGUCGAGCGAACAGACGAGGAGCUUGCUCCUCUGACGUUAGCGGCGGACGGGUGAGUAACACGUGGAUAACCUACCUAUAAGACUGGGAUAACUUCGGGAAACCGGAGCUAAUACCGGAUAAUAUAUUGAACCGCAUGGUUCAAUAGUGAAAGACGGUUUUGCUGUCACUUAUAGAUGGAUCCGCGCCGCAUUAGCUAGUUGGUAAGGUAACGGCUUACCAAGGCAACGAUGCGUAGCCGACCUGAGAGGGUGACCGGCAACACUGGAACUGAGACACGGUCCAGACUCCUACGGGAGGCAGCAGUAGGGAAUCUUCCGCAAUGGGCGAAAGCCUGACGGAGCAACGCCGCGUGAGUGAUGAAGGUCUUCGGAUCGUAAAACUCUGUUAUUAGGGAAGAACAAAUGUGUAAGUAACUAUGCACGUCUUGACGGUACCUAAUCAGAAAGCCACGGCUAACUACGUG